RNAcentral lists this ribosomal RNA (639 nucleotides) under uncultured Streptomyces sp. RNAcentral's name for it is "bacterial SSU rRNA". It matches the Rfam family "Bacterial small subunit ribosomal RNA", at positions 223 to 872 of the family's 1533-position model. The record is from RNAcentral. Lineage: Bacteria; Bacillati; Actinomycetota; Actinomycetes; Kitasatosporales; Streptomycetaceae.
GGAUGAGCCCGCGGCCUAUCAGCUUGUUGGUGAGGUAAUGGCUCACCAAGGCGACGACGGGUAGCCGGCCUGAGAGGGCGACCGGCCACACUGGGACUGAGACACGGCCCAGACUCCUACGGGAGGCAGCAGUGGGGAAUAUUGCACAAUGGGCGAAAGCCUGAUGCAGCGACGCCGCGUGAGGGAUGACGGCCUUCGGGUUGUAAACCUCUUUCAGCAGGGAAGAAGCGAAAGUGACGGUACCUGCAGAAGAAGCGCCGGCUAACUACGUGCCAGCAGCCGCGGUAAUACGUAGGGCGCGAGCGUUGUCCGGAAUUAUUGGGCGUAAAGAGCUCGUAGGCGGCUUGUCACGUCGGUUGUGAAAGCCCGGGGCUUAACCCCGGGUCUGCAGUCGAUACGGGCAGGCUAGAGUUCGGUAGGGGAGAUCGGAAUUCCUGGUGUAGCGGUGAAAUGCGCAGAUAUCAGGAGGAACACCGGUGGCGAAGGCGGAUCUCUGGGCCGAUACUGACGCUGAGGAGCGAAAGCGUGGGGAGCGAACAGGAUUAGAUACCCUGGUAGUCCACGCCGUAAACGGUGGGCACUAGGUGUGGGCAACAUUCCACGUUGUCCGUGCCGCAGCUAACGCAUUAAGUGCCCCGC